RNAcentral lists this ribosomal RNA (500 nucleotides) under uncultured bacterium. Its description in RNAcentral is "bacterial SSU rRNA". It matches the Rfam family "Bacterial small subunit ribosomal RNA", at positions 11 to 507 of the family's 1533-position model. The record is from RNAcentral.
GUUUGAUCCUGGCUCAGAUUGAACGCUGGCGGCAUGCCUUACACAUGCAAGUCGAACGGCAGCGGACCUUCGGGGUGCCGGCGAGUGGCGAACGGGUGAGUAAUGCAUCGGAACGUGCCAUUGAGUGGGGGAUAACGUAGCGAAAGUUACGCUAAUACCGCAUAUUCUGUGAGCAGGAAAGCAGGGGACCGCAAGGCCUUGCGCUCUUUGAGCGGCCGAUGUCAGAUUAGCUAGUUGGUGAGGUAAAGGCUUACCAAGGCGACGAUCUGUAGCGGGUCUGAGAGGAUGAUCCGCCACACUGGAACUGAGACACGGUCCAGACUCCUACGGGAGGCAGCAGUGGGGAAUUUUGGACAAUGGGCGCAAGCCUGAUCCAGCCAUGCCGCGUGAGUGAAGAAGGCCUUCGGGUUGUAAAGCUCUUUCGGCCGGGAAGAAAUCGCAUGGGUUAAUACCCUGUGUGGAUGACGGUACCGGAAUAAGAAGCACCGGCUAACUACGUG